This 440-nucleotide ribosomal RNA is filed under the name uncultured bacterium. Its description in RNAcentral is "partial 16S ribosomal RNA". It matches the Rfam family "Bacterial small subunit ribosomal RNA", at positions 338 to 795 of the family's 1533-position model. The record is from RNAcentral.
CCUACGGGAGGCAGCAGUGGGGGAUAUUGCACAAUGGGGGGAACCCUGAUGCAGCGACGCCGCGUGGGUGAAGAAGCGCCUCGGCGCGUAAAGCCCUGUCAGCAGGGAAGAAAAUGACGGUACCUGAAGAAGAAGCCCCGGCUAACUACGUGCCAGAAGCCGCGGGAAUACGUAGGGGGCAAGCGUUAGCCGGAUUUACUGGGUGUAAAGGGGGCGCAGACGGCGAUGCAAGCCAGGAGUGAAAGCCCGGGGCCCAACCCCGGGACUGCUCUUGGAACUGCGUGGCGGGAGUGCAGGAGGGGCAGGCGGAAUUCCUGGUGUAGCGGUGAAAUGCGUAGAUAUCAGGAGGAACACCGGUGGCGAAGGCGGCCUGCUGGACUGCAACUGACGUUGAGGCCCGAAAGCGUGGGGAGCAAACAGGAUUAGAUACCCCGGUAGUC